Long non-coding RNA from Drosophila miranda, 234 nucleotides. RefSeq lists it as uncharacterized. The transcript is spliced from 2 exons. The record is from RefSeq and is a predicted model, not a curated record. Lineage: Eukaryota; Metazoa; Arthropoda; Insecta; Diptera; Drosophilidae.
GUCCGCGGUCACACUGCUAGCUACCGUGUUCUAUUAUAUUAUUUUUUCUUUCAAAAUUUUUAUUGAUCCGGGCUGGUUGUGUUGCAGAGAAAGAACAGAAAAUGAAAUCGUCAAAGCAUGGUAGUGAAAACGCUUUGUUGUAUGAGAUAAAAAAAAGUUAAAAGAGCAAAAGGAUUGCAGCAGUAUUCAUGGAUUGAAAAUGGGUUUCUAGGUACAUAUGAGGCCGCCUCAACA